UACGGAGGGUGCAAGCGUUAAUCGGAAUUACUGGGCGUAAAGCGCGCGGAGGUGGCUUGAUAAGCCGGUUGUGAAAGCCCCGGGCUCAACCUGGGAACGGCAUCCGGAACUGUCAGGCUAGAGUGUGGUAGAGGGUAGUGGAAUUUCCUGUGUAGCGGUGAAAUGCGUAGAUAUAGGAAGGAACACCAGUGGCGAAGGCGGCUACCUGGACCAACACUGACACUGAGGUGCGAAAGCGUGGGGAGCAAACAGG
RNAcentral lists this ribosomal RNA (253 nucleotides) under uncultured microorganism. Its description in RNAcentral is "partial 16S ribosomal RNA". It matches the Rfam family "Bacterial small subunit ribosomal RNA", at positions 524 to 776 of the family's 1533-position model. The record is from RNAcentral.